GAUCAUGGCUCAGGAUGAACGCUGGCGGCGUGCUUAACACAUGCAAGUCGAACGAGGGUUGCUGGUUGAAGUUUCGGAUGGAAACCGGUAAUUCCUAGUGGCGGACGGGUGAGUAACGCGUGGGGAACCUGCCCCGCUCCGGGGGAUACCAGCUGGAAACGGCUGUUAAUACCGCAUAAGCGCACAGUAUCGCAUGAUGCAGUGUGAAAAACUCCGGUGGAACGGGAUGGCCCCGCGUCUGAUUAGCCAGUUGGCAGGGUAACGGCCUACCAAAGCGACGAUCAGUAGCCGGCCUGAGAGGGCGACCGGCCACAUUGGGACUGAGACACGGCCCAAACUCCUACGGGAGGCAGCAGUGGGGAAUAUUGCACAAUGGGGGAAACCCUGAUGCAAGCGACGCCGCGUGAGUGAGGAAGUAUUUCGGUAUGUAAAGCUCUAUCAGCAGGGAAGAAGAUGACGGUACCUGCACAAGAAGCCCCGGCUAACUACGUGCCAGCCGCGGC
This 503-nucleotide ribosomal RNA is filed under the name uncultured bacterium. Its description in RNAcentral is "bacterial SSU rRNA". It matches the Rfam family "Bacterial small subunit ribosomal RNA", at positions 15 to 518 of the family's 1533-position model. The record is from RNAcentral.